UCUCCGUUGGUGAACCAGCGGAGGGAUCAUUACAGAGUUGCGAAACUCCAUAAACCAUUGCGAACCCACCACUGAACAGUUGCUUCGGCGGGUGGCUGGCAGGGCCCCCCUAGCUGGGGCCGGCCGCCGCGAAACCCGCCGGAGGCACCCAAACUCUUGUUUGUUACAGGCCUCUCUGAGUUAUAGCACUUGAAUAAAGUCAAAACUUUCAACAACGGAUCUCUUGGUUCUG
This 232-nucleotide unclassified non-coding RNA is filed under the name soil metagenome. Its description in RNAcentral is "partial contains small subunit ribosomal RNA, internal transcribed spacer 1, and 5.8S ribosomal RNA". The record is from RNAcentral.